AUACUCUCGGGGCAUAAUAGAACAAUAUAAUUAGCAUUUACUCUUUGUUCGAUAGAAUGAGAAAAAAUACUCGUUGCAAAUUUAUACUAUUAGGGCGCAACUGAGUAGUCUAAUAUUGUUCCUGUUUUGGUUCUUGUGAACGUUGACAUCGAUUCGUUCCAAAUUUAUAUAAUUAGGUGUCACGUCCCGAACCUUGCUACCAAUUUGGUCCGGUUUGGGCGCGUCGAACAGACGCCGAACAGACAGAACCUCCCCUGUCCGCCCAAGGCUCAAGCGACAAGAUCAUGUACAACAAGUUCCCAGGAAUACACUUGAAAACAUACACGAUCAAACAACAAAGGCG
RNAcentral lists this long non-coding RNA (343 nucleotides) under Ananas comosus (pineapple). RNAcentral's name for it is "long non-coding RNA (ACOM_LNC039977)". Lineage: Eukaryota; Viridiplantae; Streptophyta; Magnoliopsida; Poales; Bromeliaceae. The record is from RNAcentral.